This 1093-nucleotide long non-coding RNA is filed under the name Gopherus agassizii (Agassiz's desert tortoise). RNAcentral's name for it is "lncRNA (ENSGAGG00000008022.1)". Lineage: Eukaryota; Metazoa; Chordata; Testudines; Testudinidae. The record is from RNAcentral.
AGUGCCCCGCCCAGCAUACAGUAUAAAUACAGUGCUCAGCCUUGCCAUCUCCCACAGAGCGUGCCAGACCAGAAACAACUCCGCUCCAGAGAGAGUAAAGACGCAAAGAUGAAGGUGUCAUAUGUGGCCGCUUUCCUCAUCGGGCUCCUCUCCCUGGAGAGCACCAGAGCGGCUCCGUUGUUGUGGUCUGUGGGCUCUGGUAGCGUAAAGACCGGUGACGUGGGCCACGGCAGCUUUAACGACAACAGCAAAAACAACAAAUUCUGGUCAGUGGGCUCUGGGAGCGUAAACACCGGUGACGUGGGCCACGGCAGCUUUAACGACAACAGCAUAAACAACAAAUUCUUGCCAGUGAAAAACAACAAAUUCUGGUCAGUGGGCUCUGGUAGCGUAAAGACUGGUGACGUGGGCCACGGCAGCUUUAACGACAACAGCAAAAACAACAAAUUCUGGUCAGUGGGCUCUGGUAGCGUAAACACUGGAGACGUGGGCCACGGCAGCUUUAACGACAACAGUAUAAACAACAAAAUCUUGCCAGUGAAAAAGAACAAAUUCUGGUCAGUGGGCUCUGGGAGCGUAAACACCGGUGACGUGGGCCACGGCAGCUUUAACGACAACAGCAAAAACAACAAAUUCUGGUCAGUGGACUCUGGUAGCGUAAACACCGGUGACGUAGGCCAUGGCAGCUUUAACGACAACAGCAAAAACAACAAAUUAUGCUUAGUGGGCUCCGGAAGCAAAAAGACCGGCAAAGUGGUCGACAGCAGCUUUGACAACAAAAGCGUAAGUAGUAGAGAUUAUCUCUCCAUGCUAUGUAGCUUCACACACAUCUGUGAACAGACCGUGUUUCAGCUAGUUUGAUGUCUCGUAACCUUUGCCUGCGAGGAACACUGGCUGCAUUUGCCCAUGUUGUAAAUGCAGCAUGGAGAGUCCUCCCACUCCACAGGCUCCUCCCCACAGCUCCCAUUGAACGGUUUCCAGACAAUGGGAGUGCCGAUCUGUUGCUUAUAGUGGGGGCAUAGCUUCAUGGCCCCUCUUCCUAGAAGCUGGACCUGCUGCUGGCUGCUUCCGGGGCGCAACGCGGUGUCAGAAC